AUUAAUUUGAGAGUUUGAUCCUGGCUCAGGACGAACGCUGGCGGCGUGCCUAAUACAUGCAAGUCGAACGAACUCUGGUAUUGAUUGGUGCUUGCAUCAUGAUUUACAUUUGAGUGAGUGGCGAACUGGUGAGUAACACGUGGGAAACCUGCCCAGAAGCGGGGGAUAACACCUGGAAACAGAUGCUAAUACCGCAUAACAACUUGGACCGCAUGGUCCGAGCUUGAAAGAUGGCUUCGGCUAUCACUUUUGGAUGGUCCCGCGGCGUAUUAGCUAGAUGGUGGGGUAACGGCUCACCAUGGCAAUGAUACGUAGCCGACCUGAGAGGGUAAUCGGCCACAUUGGGACUGAGACACGGCCCAAACUCCUACGGGAGGCAGCAGUAGGGAAUCUUCCACAAUGGACGAAAGUCUGAUGGAGCAACGCCGCGUGAGUGAAGAAGGGUUUCGGCUCGUAAAACUCUGUUGUUAAAGAAGAACAUAUCUGAGAGUAACUGUUCAGGUAUUGACGGUAUUUAACCAGAAAGCCACGGCUAACUACGUGCCAGCAGCCGCGGUAAUACGUAGGUGGCAAGCGUUGUCCGGAUUUAUUGGGCGUAAAGCGAGCGCAGGCGGUUUUUUAAGUCUGAUGUGAAAGCCUUCGGCUCAACCGAAGAAGUGCAUCGGAAACUAGGAAACUUGAGUGCAGAAGAGGACAGUGGAACUCCAUGUGUAGCGGUGAAAUGCGUAGAUAUAUGGAAGAACACCAGUGGCGAAGGCGGCUGUCUGGUCUGUAACUGACGCUGAGGCUCGAAAGUAUGGGUAGCAAACAGGAUUAGAUACCCUGGUAGUCCAUACCGUAAACGAUGAAUGCUAAGUGUUGGAGGGUUUCCGCCCUUCAGUGCUGCAGCUAACGCAUUAAGCAUUCCGCCUGGGGAGUACGGCCGCAAGGCUGAAACUCAAAGGAAUUGACGGGGGCCCGCACAAGCGGUGGAGCAUGUGGUUUAAUUCGAAGCUACGCGAAGAACCUUACCAGGUCUUGACAUACUAUGCAAAUCUAAGAGAUUAGACGUUCCCUUCGGGGACAUGGAUACAGGUGGUGCAUGGUUGUCGUCAGCUCGUGUCGUGAGAUGUUGGGUUAAGUCCCGCAACGAGCGCAACCCUUAUUAUCAGUUGCCAGCAUUAAGUUGGGCACUCUGGUGAGACUGCCGGUGACAAACCGGAGGAAGGUGGGGAUGACGUCAAAUCAUCAUGCCCCUUAUGACCUGGGCUACACACGUGCUACAAUGGAUGGUACAACGAGUUGCGAACUCGCGAGAGUAAGCUAAUCUCUUAAAGCCAUUCUCAGUUCGGAUUGUAGGCUGCAACUCGCCUACAUGAAGUCGGAAUCGCUAGUAAUCGCGGAUCAGCAUGCCGCGGUGAAUACGUUCCCGGGCCUUGUACACACCGCCCGUCACACCAUGAGAGUUUGUAACACCCAAAGUCGGUGGGGUAACCUUUUAGGAACCAGCCGCCUAAGGUGGGACAGAUGAUUAGGGUGAAGUCGUAACAAGGUAGCCGUAGGAGAACCUGCGGCUGGAUCACCUCCUUUCU
This 1571-nucleotide ribosomal RNA is filed under the name Lactiplantibacillus plantarum WCFS1. RNAcentral describes it as "Lactobacillus plantarum WCFS1 16S ribosomal RNA". It matches the Rfam family "Bacterial small subunit ribosomal RNA". Lineage: Bacteria; Bacillati; Bacillota; Bacilli; Lactobacillales; Lactobacillaceae. The record is from RNAcentral.